This 1002-nucleotide ribosomal RNA is filed under the name Triticum aestivum (bread wheat). Its description in RNAcentral is "partial small subunit ribosomal RNA". The record is from RNAcentral. Lineage: Eukaryota; Viridiplantae; Streptophyta; Magnoliopsida; Poales; Poaceae.
AUGGCGCGGCGCGGCGGCAUGGUGGUGGUAGGCUGCUGCCUCCUGGUGGCACUCGCGCUGGCGUGCGGCGUGGCGUCGGCGCAACCCUCGGAGAAUGGUCCGCCCACGAAGCUCCCGCCCAAGGCCACGUUCCAGACCAUCACCAUCCCCAAAAACAGCACCAAGAGGCUGUACGCGGUCACCUGCCGCGAGAGGCGCGGAAAGCCUUGCGUCGUGUCCUGCCCAAGCCGCUGCCCCAACAAGUGCCUCGCCUACUGCAAAUACUGCAUGGCAUUCUGCGUGUGUGAUCUCGUCCCGGGGAGCUCGUGCGGAGACCCCCGCUUCACCGGCGGGGACGGCAACACCUUCUACUUCCACGGCAAGAAGGACCAGGAUUUUUGCAUCCUCUCCGACGAGGCCCUCCACAUCAACGCCCACUUCAUCGGCAACCACAACCCCGCCAUAAGGCGCAACUUCACGUGGAUCCAGGCCAUCGGCGUCAGCUUCGGCCAGCACCGCCUCUACGUCGGCGCUCGCAAGGCCGCCAUCUGGGACGAGGAGGAGGACCACAUCCACAUCAUGUUGGACGGCAAGGCCGUCGAUGUGGAGACCGUCAAGAACACCCGGUGGGUCUCCAAGGCCUUGCCCUCCUUGUCCGUCACGCGCAUCGACACGGUGAAUGCCGUCAUGGUGGAGCUCGACGGCGUGUUCGGCAUCUCCGUCAACGCGGUGCCGAUCACCGAGGAGGACUCCAGGAUCCACAACUACGGCAAGACCGGGAGCGACAGCCUCGUGCACCUUGACCUCGGCUUCAAGUUCCAUUCCCUCACCAAGAGCGUCCACGGCGUGCUCGGCCAGACCUACCAGCCGGAGUAUGUCAGCAAGGUAGACAUCAGCGCCAAGAUGCCUAUCAUGGGCGGCGCACCGAAAUACCUAUCCUCCAGUCUUUUCUCCACGGAUUGCGCCGUCUCCAAGUUCCGCAGCAACAACGUCGCCGGGAGUGUCAUCACCUUUGCCUCGUAA